This 565-nucleotide long non-coding RNA is filed under the name Cricetulus griseus (Chinese hamster). RNAcentral's name for it is "lncRNA (ENSCGRG00015037317.1)". The record is from RNAcentral. Lineage: Eukaryota; Metazoa; Chordata; Mammalia; Rodentia; Cricetidae.
CAGGGGGAGGGACCGGGAGGUCCCGGAGCCCGGAGCGUGACCGGGGAGGAGGGAGCCGGGCAGCCACGGCGGCCUCGUGCUCAGCCUGUGCCCGCCCAGGGAACCGGAGCCUCCAACUAACUCCGCCCGCCGCCCGCGGGCUGGGGCUUCCGUCCCGUCCCGUCCCGGAGAGAGCCUGCGGCCGCCCGCGCAGGAAAGCUUUGACAUUAAAACUUGCUUUCCCACAUAUUUAUGGAGGGAAUACUCCUGCCCUCUGAAACUUGCUGGAAUAACUUGCUGGAUCUGAAGAAGAUAAAAUAGGAGGAAAGAGUUUUAAAAUCCUGCAAAAUGAGUUUGAAGUAGAUACAAAUAAUGCAUACGAUUGACAAAAGAAAAGUAAUCCAACUCUUACGAAAGACACUUGAAGGGGAAUGAAGGCGCCCUGUGGUUGUUGAGAGGUGAGAUGGUGCACCCCUAACACAGCUUCCUGGAUAUGACGUUAAGCAGAAAAUAGCGUCCCGGGCAGGUGUAUUUCUAAAGUCAACAUCAGGUUCUUGAGUUGCAGGAAUGGAGAGCCAGACUAAAG